AGCAGCAGCAACAAUUGUGGUUAGGGCUAGCUGGUUUUGGGCUGUAGCAGCAGCAGUGGAAGGGGCAUGCAGAGGAGCAGGAGAUUCAGUUGGAGCUGGAGUUCACCUCCCCUUUUCUGUCUCCUGUGCUUGCCUCUUCCAUUCCUGCUGCUAGGCUGUGUGUGCAAGCUUGCAGAGUUUAUCUGAUGGGUUGGUUAAAUCGUCCAUGGCAUCAGCAGCAGCAGGUGAAACUUUUCUUCAGAUAUUGCGGAAAACUUGUCUGUAACUUCAUUCUACUCCAGCUCUGUUAUGAUUUCAUCGGAAGGGCGGGGGUCUUGGGGAACUGGAUCCUCUGCAGUCGACGGUAGAGAAUCUCGUCGCUAACAUGUGGACCUAGCGCCUUUCGAGCCCAUAUGUCAGUGGUGGCUGCAGGGGAAAGUCGACUGCAGAGCGAUCCCAAAUCCGUGUCUGGGUUCAUGUUCUUCACUGAUUCUGUUUUCAGGCCUGUCAUGACAAUGCGGCUGUGCGAGAGCUCCAUGAAGUCGAAUGUCAUAAUGGAUUCAGGGCAAGGAAAAAGAUAAUGUUUUUCGUUGGAAAUUUGGGUGUAUGCCUAGUAAAACUCAUGUUUCAGAGAAAUGCCAAUACAGAAUUUGUCUGAGCUCAUUCAGUUAUCUCAGAAUUUGGGUGAUACAUUUUAUUCGGUCGAUCGUUUCAGAGUAGGUAAUAGAUUCGAAAAACUACAAAGCGUGAAAAAAAAUGUUUCUUAGCAGUACAGUUAAUUAAGCUGUAUCCCUUGACUAAAUUUGUACUGUCACUUCCCAACUUAGAAAGUACUGCUCCCUCCGUCC
RNAcentral lists this long non-coding RNA (827 nucleotides) under Oryza brachyantha (malo sina). RNAcentral describes it as "long non-coding RNA (OBRA_LNC000678)". The stretch from base 56 to 143 matches the Rfam family "MIR528 microRNA precursor family". Lineage: Eukaryota; Viridiplantae; Streptophyta; Magnoliopsida; Poales; Poaceae. The record is from RNAcentral.